This is a long non-coding RNA of Peromyscus eremicus (cactus mouse), 244 nucleotides long. RefSeq lists it as uncharacterized. NCBI's taxonomy places the organism in Eukaryota, Metazoa, Chordata, Mammalia, Rodentia, Cricetidae. The transcript is spliced from 2 exons. The record is from RefSeq and is a predicted model, not a curated record.
GGAAGAGGAAGGGCAGAAUCAAGAGUCACCAGCCAGAUGCAGAGGAAGCAAGAUGAGAAUGUCUAACUGAGAAAAGAUACACCUUGAAACGCUUCAAUGGAUAAAGAAGUACAAUGUUAUUCAAAGCCUGAUAAGGCAAAUGCUGGCCCUGCCUAAAGCUAUGGGUUAGUAGAUCUGAGAGAAGAGUCUAUAGGAGCUCCUCACUGUAUUUCUGUAUUCCUAUAAAUUUCAUCUGAGUUUGAAA